GACGGAGGGGGCAAGCGUUGUUCGGAUUUACUGGGCGUAAAGCGCACGUAGGCGGAUUGUUAAGUCAGGGGUGAAAUCCUGGAGCUCAACUCCAGAACUGCCUUUGAUACUGGCAAUCUAGAGUCCGGAAGAGGUAAGUGGAACUCCUAGUGUAGAGGUGGAAUUCGUAGAUAUUAGGAAGAACACCAGUGGCGAAGGCGGCUUACUGGUCCGGUACUGACGCUGAGGUGCGAAAGCGUGGGGAGCAAACAGG
RNAcentral lists this ribosomal RNA (253 nucleotides) under uncultured bacterium. RNAcentral describes it as "partial 16S ribosomal RNA". It matches the Rfam family "Bacterial small subunit ribosomal RNA", at positions 524 to 776 of the family's 1533-position model. The record is from RNAcentral.